RNAcentral lists this ribosomal RNA (401 nucleotides) under uncultured archaeon. RNAcentral's name for it is "bacterial SSU rRNA". It matches the Rfam family "Archaeal small subunit ribosomal RNA", at positions 471 to 871 of the family's 1478-position model. The record is from RNAcentral.
UAACACCGGCAGCUCUAGUGGUAGCCAUUUUUAUUGGGCCUAAAGCGUUCGUAGCCGGUUUGAUAAGUCUCUGGUGAAAUCCUAUAGCUUAACUGUGGGACUUGCUGGAGAUACUAUUAGACUUGAGGUCGGGAGAGGUUAGCGGUACUCCCAGGGUAGGGGUGAAAUCCUGUAAUCCUGGGAGGACCACCUGUGGCGAAGGCGGCUAACUGGAACGAACCUGACGGUGAGGGACGAAAGCCAGGGGCGCGAACCGGAUUAGAUACCCGGGUAGUCCUGGCCGUAAACGAUGUGGACUUGGUGUUGGAAUGGCUUCGAGCUGCUCCAGUGCCGAAGGGAAGCUGUUAAGUCCACCGCCUGGGAAGUACGGUCGCAAGACUGAAACUUAAAGGAAUUGACGG